This 453-nucleotide long non-coding RNA is filed under the name Chrysolophus pictus (golden pheasant). RNAcentral's name for it is "lncRNA (ENSCPIG00010010932.1)". Lineage: Eukaryota; Metazoa; Chordata; Aves; Galliformes; Phasianidae. The record is from RNAcentral.
CGCGCGGGGAGCGGGUGUGCCCAGCCCUGGUGUGGCUCCGGUCCCCGUCCCGGCGCUUUUGGAGAUCUCCGAGGAGGAGAGCCCGCGGCAUCCGGGCAGCCUGCCCUCGGGGGGACAGAAAAAUCAGCAGCUGAAAUGUGAACUGUUGGUGGCUACAACCAGAAGCAGGUUGUGUUUGCAGUCAAGAGGACGAGAGGCAGCAGCACUCGGAUGGGACUCAUUGUUCCGUGAAAUCCAGGAAUUUCCAGGUGCAAAGCUGCAAACUCCCAACUCCUUGAGCUGAUGAGCUGGAUCACAGCAGGUAUUCAACACCUCUUCCUCCUCCCCACUGGCUUCAUUCAGAGCACUGCUGGAAACUGAGCGAGCUGAGAUACUCGGGCUUAGCUUCAGUGGUUACCACUUUUGUUUCAAAUGUUAAAACAAUAAGCAGCAAAGUUGGUACUGAACAGCAGA